This 664-nucleotide long non-coding RNA is filed under the name Ricinus communis (castor bean). RNAcentral's name for it is "long non-coding RNA (RCOM_LNC002541)". Lineage: Eukaryota; Viridiplantae; Streptophyta; Magnoliopsida; Malpighiales; Euphorbiaceae. The record is from RNAcentral.
UAAUCUCAAACACAUAACAAUUUCUAAUUACUAAGUAACUACCCAAAAUAUAAAUAUAAAUAAUUAACUAAAUAAGUUCAGUUAAAAAUUUAUUAUAGCGAGUUGAGAAAUUAAUACGAAACAACGACAUGAAUGUCGAGAAAUAAAAAUAAAAAUUUCGCCGGUUGCCGAAAUUUUUUUGACAGUGAUGAAAAUUCGAUCUGAGCACAUCAAAAGAAAGCCCACAAUCUCAGAAGUCUAGAUGUACAAGUAUUUUUGCCAGAAAGUGGCCGGAAAAUUCUAUCUGCCGUUUAAAGUUUUUACACCAGCGAGCUUGAUCAAUAGUGAAACAGAGGAGAUCAGAGCUAAGUUUCACUAUCCUAAGGUUUUUCGACAUGAACUAAUUUUUGGGAUCUGAUCAGCCAAAGGAGGUAGGCAAGAUGUUAAACCUGCAAGGGAAGCAGUGAAAGACAUUUUCUCUCUCUUCGAAGCACACGAAACGACGACUCUUGAUGUUGCUUGACGCCGGCGAGGGUUGGAGCGAGAUAAUGAUGGCCUGAAAUGGGUGUUAGAUGGUGAAAAGGGGCUGAUUGCCGGUGAAUAGGUGAAGAAAUGAGUAGUGGCAAUAGUGUAUGACGAGAGAGAAUGACUGAGGUAGGAGGAGGGACCAAGCUGAAAUUUCUCU